CAGCGCCACGAGUGGUAACCGCGAUUAUUGGGCCUAAAGCGUCCGUAGCCGGUUAAGUAAAUCUUUUGUGAAAUCGUCGGGCUUAACUCGACGGCGUGCAGAAGAGACUGCUUAACUAGGGACCGGGAGGAGUCAGAAGUAUUCCGGGGGGAGCGGUAAAAUGCUAUAAUCCUCGGAAGACUACCUGUGGCGAAGGCGUCUGACCAGAACGGAUCCGACGGUGAGGGACGAAAGCCAGGGGAGCGAAACGGAUUAGAUACCCGAGUAGUCC
Molecule: ribosomal RNA, 271 nt
Filed under: uncultured archaeon
Lineage: Archaea
Description: partial 16S ribosomal RNA
Rfam family: Archaeal small subunit ribosomal RNA
Source: RNAcentral